RNAcentral lists this non-coding RNA (104 nucleotides) under uncultured Ochromonas. Lineage: Eukaryota; Chrysophyceae; Chromulinales; Chromulinaceae. The record is from RNAcentral.
UCCUGAUUCUUUUAAAGAUGAAGAUGAUCAUGGUGAUAUGCCGGCGAAUGAAGAGGAGAUGGAAGCAAUGUUUAAUGAGAUGUUAGCAGAAAUGUUUGGAUUCU